UUGGUUAAGUUAGAAAGGGCGCACGGUGGAUGCCUUGGCACUAGGAGCUGAAGAAGGACGGGACUAACACCGAUAUGCUUUGGGGAGCUGUACGUAAGCGUUGAUCCAGAGAUUUCCGAAUGGGGGAACCCACUAUCUUUAGUCGGAUAGUAUCCUUACGUGAAUACAUAGCGUAAGGAAGGCAGACCCAGGGAACUGAAACAUCUAAGUACCUGGAGGAAGAGAAAGAAAAAUCGAUUUCCUGAGUAGCGGCGAGCGAAACGGAAAGAGCCCAAACCAAGAAGCUUGCUUCUUGGGGUUGUAGGACACUCUAUACGGAGUUACAAAAGAAAGUUAUAAAUGAAGCGGUCUGGAAAGGCCCGCCAAAGACGGUAACAGCCCGGUAGUUGAAAUGGCUUUCCCUCCAGAGUGGAUCCUGAGUACGGCGGAACACGUGAAAUUCCGUCGGAAUCCGGGAGGACCAUCUCCCAAGGCUAAAUACUCCCUAGUGACCGAUAGUGAACCAGUACCGUGAGGGAAAGGUGAAAAGCACCCCGGAAGGGGAGUGAAACAGUUCCUGAAACCGUGUGCCUACAAGUAGUUAGAGCCCGUUAAUGGGUGAUAGCGUGCCUUUUGUAGAAUGAACCGGCGAGUUACGAUUUGUUGCAAGGUUAAGCGGAAAAAGCGGAGCCGUAGCGAAAGCGAGUCUGAAUAGGGCGCAUAAGUAACAGGUCGUAGACCCGAAACCAGGUGAUCUACCCAUGUCCAGGAUGAAGGUAAGGUAAUACUUACUGGAGGUCCGAACCCACGCACGUUGAAAAGUGCGGGGAUGAGGUGUGGGUAGCGGAGAAAUUCCAAUCGAACUUGGAGAUAGCUGGUUCUCUCCGAAAUAGCUUUAGGGCUAGCCUCGAGGUAAAGAGUCAUGGAGGUAGAGCACUGUUUGGACUAGGGGCCCUUCUCGGGUUACCGAAUUCAGAUAAACUCCGAAUGCCAUGUACUUAUACUCGGGAGUCAGACUGCGAGUGAUAAGAUCCGUAGUCGAAAGGGAAACAGCCCAGACCACCAGUUAAGGUCCCCAAAUAUAUGUUAAGUGGAAAAGGAUGUGGGGUUGCUUAGACAACCAGGAUGUUGGCUUAGAAGCAGCCACCAUUGAAAGAGUGCGUAAUAGCUCACUGGUCGAGUGACCCCGCGCCGAAAAUGUACCGGGGCUAAACAUAUUA
This 1199-nucleotide ribosomal RNA is filed under the name Listeria monocytogenes. RNAcentral describes it as "partial 23S ribosomal RNA". It matches the Rfam family "Bacterial large subunit ribosomal RNA", at positions 1 to 1193 of the family's 2925-position model. The record is from RNAcentral. Lineage: Bacteria; Bacillati; Bacillota; Bacilli; Caryophanales; Listeriaceae.